GAUGAACGCUAGCGAUAGGCCUAACACAUGCAAGUCGAGGGGCAUCACAUGAAGUAGCAAUACGGAUGGUGGCGACCGGCGCACGGGUGAGUAACACGUAUGCAACCUGCCUUCAACAAGGGGAUAACCCGUUGAAAGACGGACUAAUACCCUAUAAUACAGGGGUCCCGCAUGGGGAUAUUUGUUAAAGAUUGAUCGGUUGAAGAUGGGCAUGCGUUCCAUUAGCUGGUUGGUGAGGUAACGGCUCACCAAGGCAACGAUGGAUAGGGGAACUGAGAGGUUUAUCCCCCACACUGGUACUGAGACACGGACCAGACUCCUACGGGAGGCAGCAGUGAGGAAUAUUGGUCAAUGGACGCAAGUCUGAACCAGCCACGUCGCGUGAAGGAA
Molecule: ribosomal RNA, 390 nt
Filed under: uncultured bacterium
Lineage: Bacteria
Description: bacterial SSU rRNA
Rfam family: Bacterial small subunit ribosomal RNA
Source: RNAcentral